UCCUACGGGAGGCAGCAGUGGGGAAUAUUGGACAAUGGGCGAAAGCCUGAUCCAGCCAUGCCGCGUGUGUGAAGAAGGUCUUAGGAUUGUAAAGCACUUUAAGUUGGGAGGAAGGGCAGUAAGUUAAUACCUUGCUGUUUUGACGUUACCGACAGAAUAAGCACCGGCUAACUCUGUGCCAGCAGCCGCGGUAAU
RNAcentral lists this ribosomal RNA (195 nucleotides) under uncultured bacterium. RNAcentral's name for it is "partial 16S ribosomal RNA". It matches the Rfam family "Bacterial small subunit ribosomal RNA", at positions 337 to 524 of the family's 1533-position model. The record is from RNAcentral.